RNAcentral lists this transfer RNA (78 nucleotides) under Reticulibacter mediterranei. It matches the Rfam family "tRNA". Rfam says of the family: Transfer RNA (tRNA) molecules are approximately 80 nucleotides in length. Their secondary structure includes four short double-helical elements and three loops (D, anti-codon, and T loops). The record is from Rfam by way of RNAcentral. Lineage: Bacteria; Bacillati; Chloroflexota; Ktedonobacteria; Ktedonobacterales; Reticulibacteraceae.
GGUGACGUGGUGCAACUGGUAGACACAUGCAGCUUAAACCUGCAUUUUUCAUUGAGAGUUCGAGUCUCUCCGUCACCA